GAUGAACGCUGGUGGCAAGCUUAACACAUGCAAGUCGGGCGGGGUGAUGGUGCUUGCACUAUCACUUAGCGGCGGACGGGUGAGUAAUGCUUAGGAAUCUGCCUAUUAGUGGGGGACAACAUCUCGAAAGGGAUGCUAAUACCGCAUACGUCCUACGGGAGAAAGCAGGGGAUCACUUGUGACCUUGCGCUAAUAGAUGAGCCUAAGUCGGAUUAGCUAGUUGGUGGGGUAAAGGCCUACCAAGGCGACGAUCUGUAGCGGGUCUGAGAGGAUGAUCCGCCACACUGGGACGGAGACACGGCCCAGACUCCUACGGGAGGCAGCAGUGGGGAAUAUUGGACAAUGGGGGGAACCCUGAUCCAGCCAUGCCGCGUGUGUGAAGAAGGCCUUGUGGUUGUAAAGCACUUUAAGCGAGGAGGAGGCUCUUUUGGUUAAUACCCAAGAUGAGUGGACGUUACUCGCAGAAUAAGCACCGGCUAACUCUGUGCCAGCCGCCGCCGUAA
This 503-nucleotide ribosomal RNA is filed under the name uncultured bacterium. RNAcentral's name for it is "partial 16S ribosomal RNA". It matches the Rfam family "Bacterial small subunit ribosomal RNA", at positions 28 to 523 of the family's 1533-position model. The record is from RNAcentral.